Molecule: non-coding RNA, 1687 nt
Organism: Sus scrofa (pig)
Lineage: Eukaryota; Metazoa; Chordata; Mammalia; Artiodactyla; Suidae
Source: RefSeq, a predicted model, not a curated record
AAAAAACAAACAAACAAACAAACAAAAAAAACUGCUUCCAGGGUUCCCCACCAGUUCCAUCUGAGUAGUUUCCUGGGAGUGAGGCCUGGGACUCUGCAUUUGAAAUAGGCUCCCUGGGAAAAUCCUGAGCUUUCUAAGGUUUGGGAGUUCUCUGUCCUGUGCUUGCUUUGGGGCAAGGGAGAAAGACGCCGGAGGGUGACAUGUUGAAACAGCCCUUGCUUUGAUUGGAUGGAGCGGGAUGGAAAGACAGGGAGAGGGGAGAAGUUAGGGAAGAGCGGCUGAGGGCCUGGGUGCAGGGAGGGUAGGCUGGGAGACUUGGCCUGAGAAUGAAUUGUGGCUUCAGAGCAACACCUCCACCCACCGACCAGUAAAGCCAACAAAGGUGUACAGGAGGUGCCACCAUUCUCCUGCAAAGUGGGCUUGGCCCCACAUUACAAGGCUCCAUUUAAUUCCUUCAUCCAAGCACUAGCUAGACAUUGAGCUAAGAGAGCAGAGUAUAAUACAAUUGCUGCCCUGAAAGACUUGCCCGUCCAGAAAGAGAGACAGGUAGCAAACAUAGCAAUUACAGUCAAAAUCGCGGCUGGAAUCCAAUGGAGCAGUGAUGGCUCAGAGCUGAAUUGUGAAGGGUGAAUAGGAGCCCCCAGCAAGAUACAAGAGGGGGCAUUCCAGGCGGCAGGAACAUCUUGUUCAACCGCUUAGAGGCCUGAAAUAGCAAUCUCUGGAGGAAUCUAUGAGCAGUUUGGUGAGACUGAGACUUAGAGUGCGUCAGGAACGUGGUGAGAGAGGAGGCUGGAUGAGCAGGCAGCGUCUUGGCUAGCCGAGGAGGCUCUGCUGCUGAGGCCAUGGGCAGCCAGGCCAUUGGCCACAUGCGUCUGAUCACCAAAUCCAGACCUGCCCAGACCAGCUAGUCAGGCUGCAUCUGCCUGCGAACUGAGGUGUAUGGAUGGGGGUCAGAAGCUGCCCGAAGGACUCGGUUCUGUGCCCAAUUCGUAUGGGAGCCGUGGGGGUAAGUCACCUCCACUCACCCUUCUGGUCUUGGCUUAAAUGUCACCCACACAGAGGUCGUCCCUGUCCUCUCCCAGAUCCCCUAUCUUCUCAGCCACACCACUUACCACAACCCAUCAUUCUAUUAUUUUUUGUCCUUGUAAUGUUUGUCUUUCCAAGCAGACUGUGAAGGCUGGCAGCAAGGUUGACACCAAAUAGACAUUUAGUAAAUAUUUGCUGAAUGAGGUUUCUCUAAACUUUGAUUUCCCUGUCUGUACAAAGGAGUGACAACACCCCCCACUGUGAAAUAAGAUAGAGCCUCAGAGCACCCAGCCCAGGCCUAGGACGCAGCAGGUGUUCAGGAUCCUGGGAGCUGGGACGAGGGGAGGCUGGGCUGGAAGGCUCUGGAAGCUCUCAGGAGCAGCAAGCUCCAAGAGCACAAGUGGUGAAAAGCUGGAACCCGAGGAUAAGGAGAGUCUGGGAAUUUGAAUUUGAAACCCACUCUGGGUUUGAAUUUUAGCCUUGCUGUUUAGUUUGGGGGCAUAUCACUUUGCUUUUCUGAGCUUCAAUGUUUAUUGGUAAAAUAGCCACUUAAAGCCCACCGUGGGGAGUUCCCAUGAACUGGUGAAGUAGUGAACCUGACUAGUAUCCCUGAGAUCAGAGGUUCAAUCCCUGGCCUUGCUCAGUAGGUUGAGAAUUUGGU